Molecule: ribosomal RNA, 121 nt
Organism: Otolemur garnettii (small-eared galago)
Lineage: Eukaryota; Metazoa; Chordata; Mammalia; Primates; Galagidae
Source: Ensembl
GUCUAUGGCCAUACCACCCUGAUGGUAUGUGCUGAUCUCAUCUGAUCUCAGAAGCUAAGAGGGUCAAGCCUGGUUAGUAUUUGGAUGGGAUACCACCUGGGAAUCCCGGGUACUGCAGGCU